This 29-nucleotide non-coding RNA is filed under the name Macaca fascicularis (crab-eating macaque). The record is from RNAcentral. RNAcentral also lists the same sequence under 1 other name. Lineage: Eukaryota; Metazoa; Chordata; Mammalia; Primates; Cercopithecidae.
UAUUGGCUGAUUUCUUGCUGAGUGCCCUC